AUGGACGCCUUCAGGGCAUCGAGCAGGAGCUCGCCUGCCGCCACGCUCGGCCACCUCGACCUCCCCGGAUGCGAUUCCAACCAGCAGCAGCGCCAACCUGACUGCCUCCUCCACCUCCACGUAGCCCUCACCAACUUCCUCCACAAGCCCCUCAGGUCAUUCUCGAGAUGCUUCAGCAACGACCACAACAAGCCCAAGCGUGGCCAGAGCAAACAUGCCACAUUGCAGCUCCUCGACGUCGGGAAAAGGCAGCCGCAGCCGGCGAGCUUCGUUGAUAAAAAGGCUGAUUUCGACGGGUUCCUCUCCAACCUGGGGUUCGCCAGGGUGGGGGCGCCGCCGGCGAGCUUCGCUGAUUGUUAG
Molecule: ribosomal RNA, 360 nt
Filed under: Triticum aestivum (bread wheat)
Lineage: Eukaryota; Viridiplantae; Streptophyta; Magnoliopsida; Poales; Poaceae
Description: partial small subunit ribosomal RNA
Source: RNAcentral